GGGCCCUUGGCGCAAAGGUAGCGCAGCUGACUCAUAAUCAGCGGGUUGUAGGUUCGAGUCCUACAGGGCCCACCA
This 75-nucleotide transfer RNA is filed under the name Acidobacteriota bacterium. RNAcentral describes it as "Acidobacteria bacterium (groundwater metagenome) tRNA-Ile". It matches the Rfam family "tRNA". Rfam says of the family: Transfer RNA (tRNA) molecules are approximately 80 nucleotides in length. The record is from RNAcentral. Lineage: Bacteria; Pseudomonadati; Acidobacteriota.